UGGUGACCGGCGUACGGGUGAGUAACGCGUAUCCAACCUGCCCUUUACUAUGGGACAGCCCGUCGAAAGGCGGAUUAAUACCGUAUGUUGUCAUGUUGAUGCAUAUUUUCAUGACCAAAGGCUUCGGCCGGUAAAGGAUGGGGAUGCGUCUGAUUAGCUUGCCGGCGGGGUAACGGCCCACCGGGGCGACGAUCAGUAGGGGUUCUGAGAGGAAGGUCCCCCACAUUGGAACUGAGACACGGUCCAAACUCCUACGGAAGGCAGCAG
RNAcentral lists this ribosomal RNA (267 nucleotides) under uncultured bacterium. RNAcentral describes it as "partial 16S ribosomal RNA". It matches the Rfam family "Bacterial small subunit ribosomal RNA", at positions 89 to 354 of the family's 1533-position model. The record is from RNAcentral.